CGGUAAUACGGAGGGGGUUAGCGUUGUUCGGAAUUACUGGGCGUAAAGCGUACGUAGGCGGAUUAGUCAGUUAGAGGUGAAAUCCCAGGGCUCAACCCUGGAACUGCCUUUAAUACUGCUAGUCUUGAGUUCGAGAGAGGUGAGUGGAAUUCCGAGUGUAGAGGUGAAAUUCGUAGAUAUUCGGAGGAACACCAGUGGCGAAGGCGGCUCACUGGCUCGAUACUGACGCUGAGGUACGAAAGUGUGGGGAGCAAACAGGAUUAGAUACCCUGGUAGUCCACACCGUAAACGAUGAAUGCCAGUCGUCGGGCAGUAUACUGUUCGGUGACACACCUAACGGAUUAAGCAUUCCGCCUGGGGAGUACGGUCGCAAGAUUAAAACUCAAAGGAAUUGACGGAG
Molecule: ribosomal RNA, 400 nt
Filed under: uncultured Roseovarius sp.
Lineage: Bacteria; Pseudomonadati; Pseudomonadota; Alphaproteobacteria; Rhodobacterales; Roseobacteraceae
Description: bacterial SSU rRNA
Rfam family: Bacterial small subunit ribosomal RNA
Source: RNAcentral